AGAGGAGUGAUACAUUUCUGCUUAAGAUGUGAGAAACAUAGUAAGUAGCUGAAUGUUAAUUCAGGCUAUCACCUAUAAUUAGGACAUCAAGACUGGAAUUAACAGUCUUCAGUCUGGAAAUGAACACUCAUCAUCAAAGAAGAGCUACCUUAUUUAAAUAAUUUAAAUGAAGAUCAAUUUUAAUCAAAAUUUAUAUUAUUGCAUAUGAAAAUGGCUCCUUUUAUUUUUCUUAAAAUUUUGAUGUUACCAUGAAAAUGAACAAUGACCUUGCUCAGAGAUAUGUGGCAUGUGGCUGGCAAUAUUCCAUUAGGGUUGAAAAUUUGAAUGAAUAUCUACUUAAAGCUUGGCUGCAUGGCUAACACCCUCCAGGCAGCUGAGAAGUCAGGAAUCGGUCUUUCUGCUUUUCCAGGAAUUCCUGAACUAGAGGCAAUAGUACUGGAAAGAGAUGCCAUGACACACCAUGUCAACACAGAAAGUCAAGAUGAGAUACAGGAUGCUUAAAAGCAGAAGCAGAAGGAUUUGAACUGCCUGUGCAGGAUUAGGAGCCUGACUGGUCUCUUUCGACUGUCAACAAUAAUAGAAUUGAGUUCCACACUGAAGAUAAUUGCCUCAAGUCAUUCUCCAGCCACAGGGAAGAUACAAGGGUGACAGUGACAUGUAAACUUCCCAGCCACUGAAAUACAGCAAAAAGUUUUCCACAGAGCCUGGACUGCUGCCUGUUGCAACUGGAAGCUAUUUGAACAAAACAUCCACAAGGACUAAAACUCUCUUUGCACUUAGACUGUACGUAUGCCUAAACUCCCUGGUUAGAUUUGUAUUGAAACAGUAGUGUCUCACUGGAGACAGAAAGAAUUAUCUCCCAAAAAUCUGAUCUGGGAUUCUGUCCUUAAAAAGAGGGCCAGGAGAAAAGUGUCCCAAGUGUUUCAGAAAGCAAUCAGCUGGAUUGGUAGAAUACCAAACACAGACAAAGGAUUUAUUUCUAAAUAGUGAAAAAAUAAAAGAAGAUAAAAUUUAGGUAGUUUUCCUGAAUACCUUAGAGCAAGAAAAUCACUAUUUCAAGGUUAUCUUUCCUUUCAUCUCCAUCUGAUUCAAUAGAAAAAGGUGUUCUUAAACUUAUUUAUUAUGUUUUGUGAUCAGUUUCAUUUUCAUUAGGCUCUCCUGUUGUGAUAUGGGCUACAGUAUUUGUUUUUCCACCUCAGUAGCAUUACACUGUUCAUUUUGUGGAAGAUCCAUUCUCUUAAAAUAUAUACUGUUGAAAAUAAAAUUAUUUAAUCAUGGCAACUGUCUCUAUCUUUUCAAUACCAUUUCACUUCCCUUCUGUGAGGUGAUGUUCUUCAUUCCAGUUUAUAUUCCAGUGUCAAGUAGCAUGUAAUCUAAAACUAGCUGUCCUGUUCAACUAGGAUAGGGUUAAGUUU
Athene cunicularia (burrowing owl) is the source of this 1415-nucleotide long non-coding RNA. RefSeq lists it as uncharacterized. NCBI's taxonomy places the organism in Eukaryota, Metazoa, Chordata, Aves, Strigiformes, Strigidae. The transcript has 3 exons. The record is from RefSeq and is a predicted model, not a curated record.